UACGGAGGAUGCAAGCGUUAUCCGGAAUGAUUGGGCGUAAAGCGUCCGCAGGUGGCUGUGUAAGUCUGCUGUUAAAGAGUGAGGCUCAACCUCAUAAAAGCAGUGGAAACUACACGGCUAGAGUGCGUUCGGGGCAGAGGGAAUUCCUGGUGUAGCGGUGAAAUGCGUAGAUAUCAAGCGGAACACCAGUGGCGAAGGCGAGUCCCUGGACAACUCCUGACACUGAUGCACGAAAGCUAGGGGAGCAAACAGG
Molecule: ribosomal RNA, 253 nt
Filed under: uncultured bacterium
Lineage: Bacteria
Description: partial 16S ribosomal RNA
Rfam family: Bacterial small subunit ribosomal RNA
Source: RNAcentral